This 495-nucleotide ribosomal RNA is filed under the name uncultured bacterium. RNAcentral's name for it is "bacterial SSU rRNA". It matches the Rfam family "Bacterial small subunit ribosomal RNA", at positions 43 to 507 of the family's 1533-position model. The record is from RNAcentral.
CGUGCUUAACACAUGCAAGUCGAACGAGACGAUUUAGAAGCUUGCUUUUAUUGAGUCGAGUGGCAAACGGGUGAGUAACGCGUAGACAACCUGCCGCAAAGAUGGGGACAACAGUCCGAAAGGACUGCUAAUACCGAAUGUUGUAUCUCCUCCGCAUGGAAGAGAUAUUAAAGGUGGCCUCUACUUGUAAGCUAUCGCUUUGCGAUGGGUCUGCGUCUGAUUAGCUAGUUGGUGGGGCAACGGCCUACCAAGGCGACGAUCAGUAGCCGGUCUGAGAGGAUGAACGGCCACAUUGGAACUGAGACACGGUCCAGACUCCUACGGGAGGCAGCAGUGGGGAAUCUUCCGCAAUGGGCGAAAGCCUGACGGAGCAACGCCGCGUGAGUGAAGAAGGUCUUCGGAUCGUAAAGCUCUGUUGUCGGGGACGAAUGUUGAGACUUAGAACAUAGGUUUCAAAUGACGGUACCUGACGAGGAAGCCACGGCUAACUACGUG